GAAUCAAAAGUCCCCUUGACUUUUUCACCCCAUUUUGAGAUGUGCGUUUUGCAAGAAUUUUUUAGGCGAUUUUUGUGUGUAUGUGUUCAUAGUUAUGGGAUUUUUGAUUUGACUUUGUAUGUUUUGAGUUUGUGGUUUCAUUUAGAAAAAACGUGCAGAGAAUAUUAGUAAUGAUAUUUCGACUAAAACUUAAGCGUGCUGUGUAGCCGAACCAACAUGAGGCAUCGUUUUCAGAAAAACUCUCCAAACAUAUGCAAGUUAUGAGUGGAUAGAGUUAAACCAAAAGGGCCCGAAGUUUUCACAGUGGACAGAAAAUAUGUCGUUUGUGAUUAUCAUUGCAUUCCAAGUGAUAUCAUAUUAUAAGAAAGGAGAGAUACAACUGAUGCCACUAAUGCAGCGACUGAUUCUGAUUUUUUGAUGUCUGAUGCAGCAAAUGUAGAGAUACAAAAUAUGGACAUAGCUGCUGCUGGUCCUUCUACACAGUGGUUUUAAAUUGAGGGCUUGACCCUUUAGCCAUCUACAUAGCCUCGUGCAUAGUUGCUGGGCAUCGGUACAUAGGGUGAUACAAAGUUCAUCGGAAUUGUGUGCUGUUCUGGGAAACUUAAGUCCGCCGAUACAGAAACCUGCGAAGGUAAGCCAUAUCUUUUUUUUCUUCAUCAAUUUAAUGUGUUGAUAAUAAAUUCCCUAACAAAAUUUAUGUAAGCUGGUGUGAUAAUUGAAAAUACUUUUUCUGUACCAAAGAUUUCAUUUUAAUUUAAAUUUUUUGUAUAACAAAAAUUAUUUCAUUUGCACUUUCCAAGCUGAUUAUACUGAAAAAAAGUUGUAGUCUUAUUCCACAUAUUGAGGCUGUACUAUAUUGUUUAUUUCUCAUCGUUAAUUGAUGCAGACAAUUUGGCCAUGUGGUUACACGAUUAUGUGUCUUAGUGGGGAACUCUGCCUCCGUCAUUCUGAUUGCCUGUAUGACGGUAUAUUUUGCUGCCUUUAUAUAUCAAAGUUUCGAUAUCGACAUAUAUACAGGGUGUUUAAAAAUAGAUGCGAAAAAUUUAGUUUCUAUAUAAAAAAAUUAAAUGUAGGUCGAAUGUCAAAAAAAAAAAUAAAUAAAAAUAAAAAUAAUUUUUGUUCGGUGUUGUGUGUUGUCCAACGGUAUUUGUACUAACAUUUAUGAUAAUCUUCCAAACAAUUAUGUUUCAAAAAUAAUUUAUAAUCAAACAUAAGCUGUGAUUAGGUAUACCAUUUAGAUAUGCUUGUGUAUAAGUACAAACUUUAAAGAAUCAAAGAAUUUGAAUUUGUUCUUCAUUACUUAAAAUGCAUUUCUGCAUUAGUGUAAUUAAUCAUUAUUGAAUUAAAACUUUUUAUUAUUAAACAAUUGAAGGAUUAGAUAAUCAGUUUGAAUUAAUGCUAUUUUGUAUUUAAACUAACUAAGCAUUGUCAAAUGAAACAGUAAUAAGAAACGCCAUAGGAAGUGACUAUAAUUUUUUUGAUUAUAUUUUUUUAUUUGUGGACAGUGAGUAUUAUGAAAAUAUUCCAGAAGACAAAAGUUUCUAUAUAAAACAUAAAAUUAACAAAAUAAGUUUUUCUUUGGUGCUAUAUAUUUUCUUCUUUCAGAUAAAACAUAAAAACAACAUUUAUUUAACCAACUACCCUUUAUUUUACGCAUAGAAUUACCCUCUUAAGUUUUUCUUCUUUGUUUUGAAACACCAUAAAUACAGGGCAAUUGACGCUAUGGCCAAAUGGUUUUCAAAAAAUUUUGCUUAUGGGAUGCUUAAAUUUCUAUUAUAGUAUUUUUAAAAAGCCAUUCAAGCAAUAAGUGACCUCAUCUGAAUAAACAUAAACUUGGGAAAUUUGAAUUUAAAUAAGAUUAACCAACUCACUCACCAUUGCGAAGUUCCUGCAUGAAAAUAACAUUAACUCUAAAACUUAGAAGUUACAAAUCCCCAUGAACAGGUUACUUGAAAACAUUGAUAUUUUCAGUAAUAGUUAUGGUUUUCCGAAUGCUGCUCACAUGCUUAACGCAUAUAUUAAUUUCCAUUUGACAUUUACAAGAUAGGUAACUCUACUCCUACUUUCCACUAUUCAUCUGCAUUGGGUUUAAAUUAUUCUAUUAUUCUCUUUCGGUUUAAGAAAAUCUAACCAUGUUUUAAGUUUCACAUGCAUAAGGAGUGAUUCUGUAGCUAAACAGGAAAUUAACUAUUAACUGAUCUUUUGAUCAAGACGAAGAUUUUUGUAGUAAAAAAAGUGUUUCUUUUUUUUGCGGUUUGCACUUUUCCGCAAGGGUGAUAUGGUGGAGAAUUUAAAACUUGAUAUCAAUCAUAUGACAAAAUUUAAAAAUGCUUCCUUCUUGUAACAAUGUUCCUAUGAAGCGCAUUUCUUCGUUUUGAAAAUGACUGGUAUAUUGUCACUUGUUAUUUUACUGGUCAUCGCGAUUCUAGAUGUUUUAAGUUCGAGGAUUAUCUGGAUAUAUUGUCCUAUCGCUGAAAUUUGUACCUGCAUGCCACAUUACAUCAAUUUUUUCUUGGAGAAUUUUCAUGAUUCUUAGGUUAUAACGUUCUCCGUCAGUUUAGCAUUUAGUGUGCUUUUGGUAUCCGUUAUUCCUGGUCAAUAUUUUGUACGAUUACCUUGAUUACACCUGUAUUUUUGUGUAAAACUUGUUGCAUUCUGAUUUUUGCCAUUGUUUACUGUAAUCAUACGUCAAGCUUCCAAAUGUCACCGACCGGAGUCGUUACUGGCGCAGUUGCCAGAUUGUGGAAUAGUCUCUAAGGUUUCUCGCGAAGAAUAAUAAUUCGUUAUGUUAAAAUUAAUUCCUUUUCAGUGUUUGGGUAAUGUAACUAGAUAGAACGUUUCUAGUCUUUAUUACUUGUUUGGUGUUACACUUUGCUCCGCAUUCUCGGUUGUGAUUGAUACAUUGAUUUGUUGGUUGAUUUGGCAUUACGCGUCGAGUUUAUCGUGAAUGCGGUGGAGUGAGACGCCUAAUGGGACUAUGUGAGUGUUAGACAAGGAUAUCUUGAUCUUCGUUGUUCGUGAGGGUUGAUUUUACAUGUGAAAGGAAGAACACAUUAACGUUCGAAUGGGCUUCGCAGUGUAAUUGAAUUUUUCGGUGUGAUUUGGUGAUUUUAAAGAAAAUACCAGGCCACUGAGUUGAGACAUCCGCCGAAGAUUCUUCGAGUAAACUAUUGUGCCAUUAUCUGGAUCAGACAUUUGGAUGUUUUUGUAUAUGUUUUCUGAUAGGUUGUCUACGCCAUUUUGGGGAUGUGAUAUACGUACCUCAUGCAUCCACAUGAGGUUCUUAUUUUUGCUUUGUUGGCACAAUGGCAAUUAGUUGAUACGUCUUUCACUCGCACGUAAACCCCGAUCAUCACCUACAGGGGUUUUUCUUUUUUUCCUUUUUUCCUUGUACGGCAACGUUUUGGAUUUCGACAACUAUUUGCUGUUCGCUGCUGGAGUGACUGGCUUAAUUUGGUAGCAGCUUUUGACCGCAACCAGUCAAUCGAUCGCGACCGUGCUAUCGGAUACAGCCGGAUUCUAAAUCAGCGUAGACGACUGCAGCCACUACUUACAGGAACCGCAAGAUUUUUUGGGUUUCCUAUUUUCUACAUGAGAUAUUCAAGCUUGCGAUUGCUAGUCGCAGGAACAGGGUAGAAUUUGGUUUUUGGAGUGAUGGCUUACUUUUCACACCAGAUCGGGUAACUCCCCGUUUGGUGGAGCUUUUUGCAGCCCAACAGCUCCUUCAUUUUGUUGUUCGCCUGUAGAUCAUCGGCCAGGACGACUAGGGCGGGCCUAAGGAUCCCCGAGAUGACCUUCUUUGACAAAUGGACCUUUCUGUUCCCAUCAGUUGAAAAGUGGAGAGAGGGCAGAGUCGGCUUCUGGGAUGGACUUAUCUGGUACACGGACGGGUCCAGAAUUGGAGAUCAGCCGGAGCUGGAGCGUACUGGGAGAGAAUGGGAUCGAGCUUGGGUUUGGGUCAGUACUGCACUGUGUUUCAGGCGGAUAUUUUCGCUUUAUUGAUGGCGGCCAGAGAGUUGCUUCGGCUCAACCACGGAAGCAGGAGGGUCUUCUUCUGCUCGGAUAGGAGGGCUGCACUUAUGGAGCUGAAGGCAGUGCGCACGCACUCCUUGUUGAUAAAGGAGUGCAAAGGGGUACUGAAGAGAGUGGCCGAGGAGAGGAAUGUCACGUUGCUCUGGGUCGCGAGAGUCACACCGGUUUCCGAGGCAAUGAGGCAGCGGACGGUAUUGGGCUACAAUAGUUGUUGACCUUCUAUAGGAGGGGGAGGGUGACGCAGGGCGCCCCACUUUAGUACCAAUACCAAUACCCCUUCCUUUCCAACGGGUUUGCUAAAUCAUAAUAUAAGUCUGGUAGAAAAAAUUCCUUCUUGAGAGAAGUGUACUACGCAUCCAUCGUGUUGCAGUCACGCAUCUCCUCUCGUAGAGGGACUUUUUUUUUAUAAAAUCGGCAAGUAGUUAAAUCGAUCACCCAAAAUACCACUCUCGACGUUCACAUUCGACCUCUUUUGAUAAUUCGGUUAUAGCAAACAGCUGCCUCAAGUCCCUCACGAGAAUGGAGACUACCUCGUUCAGAGACGUAGAAUAUUUUUAAUUAUAGCGAACAGCUGCCUCAAGUCCCUCACGAGAGUAGAGACUAUCUCGUUCAGAGGCGUAGAAUAUUUAUAAUUAUAGCAAACAGCUGCCUCAAGUCCCUCACCAGAGUGGAGACAAUCUCGCUCAGAGACGUAGAAUAUUUAUAAUUAUAGCGAACAGCCGCCUUAAGAUUGUCCCGAGAGUGGAUACUAUUUCGUUCAGAGGCGUAGAAUAUUUAUAAUUACAGCGAACAGCUGCCUCAAGUCCCUCACGAGAGUGGAGACGUAUUUCGUUCAGAGACGUAGAGUAUUUAUAAUUAUAGAAAACGGCUGCCUCAAGUUAGUCACGAGAGUGGAGCUUAUCUCGUUCAGAGAUGUAGAAUAUUUGUAAUUAUAGCGAACAGGCGCCUCAAGUUUUUUUUCUAUCCGACGAAUCGUUAAAUUCUUUUAAAAAAUUCUUUGACCUCGUACUAGUACGGAGGAAAACUUAAAGCCAGUACUUCCUAUCUUUCGGAUGUUAUAGCCUCCAAAAGCCCCCGCGGGUCCGUUACAGAGAAACAGACAACAGAGGACAGAAAAAAAGGUAUUCUUUAUCGACGCUAAAUCCUUUGGUACCAACGGCCACCAAGUACGACGAAAUGUUACCAAGAUCUCGAAUUUAGCGAGGAGCGCAAUUACUUUCGUGAAACACGAUUUCAUCGGUUUCUCGAAUGUAACAAGUGUGGUCGACAUAUCGUAGCUCUAUAGAAGUGUAUCAACAACUUAUGGACUGUGAAGCUUCCUAGCGCCCGGCAGGUAGACCACUUUCGUGACACUAUGGUUAACCCCAAAAAGUCACAGCAUGCAGGAUCACGUCGUCGUUUAUAGAAAUGUUUAAUUGGUCCCUAUAUAUUUAUUUAUUACGUAUUUAUUUAAUGAAUAUAUUGUUGUAAACUAUA
Cylas formicarius (sweet potato weevil) is the source of this 5508-nucleotide long non-coding RNA. RefSeq lists it as uncharacterized. Lineage: Eukaryota; Metazoa; Arthropoda; Insecta; Coleoptera; Brentidae. The record is from RefSeq and is a predicted model, not a curated record. The transcript is spliced from 7 exons.